ACACGACUACGAGUUUGAUCCUGGCUCGGGACGAACGCUGGCGGCGUGCCUAACACAUGCAAGUCGAACGAGGUCCAUGCAGUGGCAACACUGCGGAAGACCUAGUGGCGAACGGGUGAGUAACACGUGAGGAACCUGCCCCGAAGACCGGGAUAACCCUCCGAAAGGAGAGCUAAUACCGGAUACCCCCACCUGGUCGCAUUGCCGGGUGAGGAAAUGGAUUCCGCUUCGGGAGGGCCUCGCGGCCUAUCAGCUAGUUGGUGAAGUAACGGCUCACCAAGGCAUCGACGGGUAGCUGGUCUGAGAGGACGAUCAGCCACACUGGGACUGAGACACGGCCCAGACUCCUACGGGAGGCAGCAGUGGGGAAUCUUGCGCAAUGGGCGAAAGCCUGACGCAGCAACGCCGCGUGGGGGAUGAAGGCUCUCGGGUUGUAAACCCCUUUCAGCAGGGACGAAAUUGACGGUACCUGCAGAAGAAGCCCGGCUAACUACGUG
This 497-nucleotide ribosomal RNA is filed under the name uncultured bacterium. RNAcentral describes it as "bacterial SSU rRNA". It matches the Rfam family "Bacterial small subunit ribosomal RNA", at positions 1 to 507 of the family's 1533-position model. The record is from RNAcentral.